CACGUAGUUAGCCGUGGCUUAUUCAAGAGGUACCGUCUUCUUCCCUUCCCUCUUGAAAGAAGUUUACAACCCGAAAGCCUUCUUCCUUCACGCGGCGUUGCUGGGUCAGGCUUGCGCCCAUUGCCCAAUAUUCCCCACUGCUGCCUCCCGUAGGAGUCUGGGCCGUAUCUCAGUCCCAAUGUGGCCGGUCAACCUCUCAGUCCGGCUACUGAUCGUCGCCUAGGUGGGCCGUUACCCCGCCUACUAGCUAAUCAGACGCGAGGCCAUCUUCCAGCGAUAAAUCUUUGACAUUCAAACCAUGCGGUUCAAAUGUUUCAUGCGGUAUUAGCAGUCGUUUCCAACUGUUGUCCCCCUCUGGAAGGCAGGUUCCUCACGCGUUACUCACCAGUCCGCCACUAAGCAUUCCCUUCCGUUGUCCGAAAACUCCUUCAGGGGUGCUCCGUUCGACUUGCAUGUGUUAAGUACGCCGCCAGCCGUUCGUCCUGAGCCAGGAUCGAAACUCU
This 503-nucleotide ribosomal RNA is filed under the name uncultured Oscillibacter sp. RNAcentral's name for it is "partial 16S ribosomal RNA". Lineage: Bacteria; Bacillati; Bacillota; Clostridia; Eubacteriales; Oscillospiraceae. The record is from RNAcentral.